This 772-nucleotide non-coding RNA is filed under the name Kallima paralekta. Lineage: Eukaryota; Metazoa; Arthropoda; Insecta; Lepidoptera; Nymphalidae. The record is from RNAcentral.
AUAAAAUAAUUAUGUUUUUGGUAGUUUAUUAUAAAUUUGUUUUACAUAUAAAUUUUAGUAUAUAAUUUUAAUUAUUUUAAUAGUAAUUAAUUAAAUUUGGUAGUAAUUAAUAUUAAAAAUUUAAGAAAUUAAGAUUUAGUAAUAUUAAAAUUAGUAACUAAUUUUGUGCCAGCAGUUGCGGUUAAACAAAAAUUAAAUUAAAUUAUUUCAGUUUGUAAUAAAUAAUUAAUUAUUAAAAUAAAUAUUAAAUUAUUAAGUGAAAUUUUAAUUUAAUUUAAUUUUAUUAUUAAAUUAUGAUUUAAUAAAUUUUAAUAUAAACUAGGAUUAGAUACCCUAUUAUUAAAAAUUUAAUUUAUAAUACUAAAAUAGUAAAUAAUAAUUUAUUGAAACUUAAAUAAUAUGGCGGUAUUUUAGUUCAUUUAGAGGAAUCUGUCUAAUAAUUGAUAAUCCACGAAUAAAUUUACUUAAUUUAUAAUUUUGUAUAUCGUUGUUAAAAAAAUAUUUUUUAGUAAUAAUAAUAUUUUAAAUUUAAAAAUAAAAAUUAAUUCAGAUCAAGAUGCAGAAUAUAAUUAAGAAUAUGAUGGAUUACAUUAAAUAUAUUUAAAUGAAUGAUUUAUUGUAAUAUAAAUUUGAAGGUGGAUUUAAAUGUAAUUUUAAUUAAUUUAUUAAAAUGAUUAAAAAUUAAAAUAUGUACAUAUUGCCCGUCACUUUCAUUUAAAAAUUGGAAUAAGUCGUAACAAAGUAGAGGUACUGGAAAGUGUUUCUAGAAAGA